GUGGCAAAAGAGUUGUGACCUGGCGUGCCCACGUGGACUCGCCCCUUACAACCCAUUUAUACAUCUUCAAAGCCUCCAGUUGAUCGAGGUCUGCAAAUUCCAAUAGCAUCAAUAAUCUCUCUAACCUUCCUAAACAAACUCAUCAUUCUAACCGAAUCAACAUGUAAAUCAGGGCUCUCCAGUUGAUCGAGGUCUGCAAAUUCCAAUAGCCCACUAUCUUCCCUGUGGUAAAUCAGCUGCCUACAACCACCCUCGAAUCACCCUCAACCAUAACCACCCUCCAACAGAAUCCGACAACAAAAGCUAAGAAGACAACGAAAACCCAACCCUUUCAGCGUCUGUUCGCUAAUCAAAUCCGUCAUCGCAAGAAUCGAUCCAGAAAUCACCAUAGCCCGGACCAUUUCUUACCCCCAAAACCCACACAUAUCCAAUUUCAAGCUCAAACUCACGUAUGCUCUAAACCCCUCUUCAAAAAAUGUCGACUUUGAUGAACUUUCAAAAAAUCCAAUUUCAAGCUCAAACUCCGCCACCAUAGAUGACACUUUUUAGUAAGUACAGAGUCAGAAUCAGCCUCAAAGAUGACAUUUUUAUUAUCAAAAUCAAAGUAAGCUCUUAGCCAGACUUGAGAAACACAACCUUUGACCUUAUUUUCAUCAGUUUUGAACUGGGUUUCGAUGUAAGGUUCUUGCAAUAGAAAAACAAUUGUUCCAUACUUGGCUCUUGGGUCUUGUACGGACCGGAAAAGAUUGAUGAUUUCUUGAAGCUUUUGGGGGAGUUCUUCAAUGGGUUGGAGUGUGUUGUUGUUGGGGUUUGAUGAUGAUUAAGAAGUGGAGUUAAUGGGAAAUGAUCUUGUGGGUAUUGAUUGGACUGUGUGGGGAAAGUGGGAAAGAAGAGAGGGUUAGGGUUUUGAAAAGGGGUAAAGAAUUGG
Molecule: long non-coding RNA, 928 nt
Filed under: Helianthus annuus (common sunflower)
Lineage: Eukaryota; Viridiplantae; Streptophyta; Magnoliopsida; Asterales; Asteraceae
Description: sRNA HanXRQr2_Chr17g0799991
Source: RNAcentral